RNAcentral lists this non-coding RNA (48 nucleotides) under unclassified sequences. Its description in RNAcentral is "eL15-Euryarchaeota ribosomal protein leader". It matches the Rfam family "eL15-Euryarchaeota ribosomal protein leader". The record is from RNAcentral.
CCCGUUUCGACGGGUCGGGAUGUGACCGUUUCACGGUUGAACCACCAA